RNAcentral lists this ribosomal RNA (709 nucleotides) under uncultured bacterium. Its description in RNAcentral is "bacterial SSU rRNA". It matches the Rfam family "Bacterial small subunit ribosomal RNA", at positions 57 to 787 of the family's 1533-position model. The record is from RNAcentral.
GCAGUCGACGGGCAUAGCAAUAUGUCAGUGGCAGACGGGUGAGUAACGCGUGGGAACAUACCUUUUGGUUCGGAACAACUCAGGGAAACUUGAGCUAAUACCGGAUAAGCCUUUCGAGGGAAAGAUUUAUCGCCAUUAGAGCGGCCCGCGUAGGAUUAGCUAGUUGGUGGGGUAAAGGCCCACCAAGGCUACGAUCCUUAGCUGGUCUGAGAGGAUGAUCAGCCACAUUGGGACUGAGACACGGCCCAGACUCCUACGGGAGGCAGCAGUGGGGAAUUUUGGACAAUGGGCGAAAGCCUGAUCCAGCAAUGCCGCGUGCAGGAAGAAGGCCUUCGGGUUGUAAACUGCUUUUGUACGGAACGAAAAGGUCUGCCCUAAUACGGCGGGCCCAUGACGGUACCGUAAGAAUAAGCACCGGCUAACUACGUGCCAGCAGCCGCGGUAAUACGUAGGGUGCGAGCGUUAAUCGGAAUUACUGGGCGUAAAGCGUGCGCAGGCGGUGAUGUAAGACAGUUGUGAAAUCCCCGGGCUCAACCUGGGAAUUGCAUCUGUGACUGCAUCGCUAGAGUACGGUAGAGGGGGAUGGAAUUCCGCGUGUAGCAGUGAAAUGCGUAGAUAUGCGGAGGAACACCGAUGGCGAAGGCAAUCCCCUGGACCUGUACUGACGCUCAUGCACGAAAGCGUGGGGAGCAAACAGGAUUAGAUACCC